This 573-nucleotide ribosomal RNA is filed under the name Escherichia coli. Its description in RNAcentral is "partial 23S ribosomal RNA". It matches the Rfam family "Bacterial large subunit ribosomal RNA", at positions 165 to 780 of the family's 2925-position model. The record is from RNAcentral. Lineage: Bacteria; Pseudomonadati; Pseudomonadota; Gammaproteobacteria; Enterobacterales; Enterobacteriaceae.
CAUAGGUUAAUGAGGCGAACCGGGGGAACUGAAACAUCUAAGUACCCCGAGGAAAAGAAAUCAACCGAGAUUCCCCCAGUAGCGGCGAGCGAACGGGGAGGAGCCCAGAGCCUGAAUCAGUGUGUGUGUUAGUGGAAGCGUCUGGAAAGGCGCGCGAUACAGGGUGACAGCCCCGUACACAAAAAUGCACAUACUGUGAGCUCGAUGAGUAGGGCGGGACACGUGGUAUCCUGUCUGAAUAUGGGGGGACCAUCCUCCAAGGCUAAAUACUCCUGACUGACCGAUAGUGAACCAGUACCGUGAGGGAAAGGCGAAAAGAACCCCGGCGAGGGGAGUGAAAAAGAACCUGAAACCGUGUACGUACAAGCAGUGGGAGCCUCUUAAUGGGGUGACUGCGUACCUUUUGUAUAAUGGGUCAGCGACUUAUAUUCUGUAGCAAGGUUAACCGAAUAGGGGAGCCGAAGGGAAACCGAGUCUUAACUGGGCGUUAAGUUGCAGGGUAUAGACCCGAAACCCGGUGAUCUAGCCAUGGGCAGGUUGAAGGUUGGGUAACACUAACUGGAGGACCGAACC